Molecule: ribosomal RNA, 682 nt
Filed under: Zingiber zerumbet (bitter ginger)
Lineage: Eukaryota; Viridiplantae; Streptophyta; Magnoliopsida; Zingiberales; Zingiberaceae
Description: eukaryotic LSU rRNA
Rfam family: 5.8S ribosomal RNA (bases 228-383)
Source: RNAcentral
CGUAAGUUGACCUGCCGAAGGAUCCAUGUUGAGAGAGCAUAUAAGACGGAUGACUGCGAAUGUGUGAAUGUGUCCCUUUCCUCGCCCACACCCCCCAUGUGUCGGUGGCGGGCGAUUGACCGUAGCUCGGUGCGAUCGGCACUAAGGAACAAAUGAACUCGGAAGCGGAGGGCCCCCUUGGCGUGCACAGGGGAGCCCAAUGCGUCGGAGAUUCCUCGGAAUCAAACGACUCUCGGCAAUGGAUAUCUCGGCUCUUGCAUCGAUGAAGAACGUAGUGAAAUGCGAUACUUGGUGUGAAUUGCAGAAUCUCGUGAACCAUUGAGUCUUUGAACGCAAGUUGUGCCCGAGGCCUUGUGGCCGAGGGCACGCCUGCUUGGGUGUCAUGGCAUCGUCGCCUCUGCUCCAUGCGCCGUUAUAGUCGGUUGGUGGUGCCGAGCGCGGAAAUUGGCCCCGUGUGCCCUCGGGCACAGUCGGCCGAAGAGCGGGUAGUCGGCAGUCGUCGGGCACGAUGGGUGUUGGUCGCCGUGAGCGGGAACAGAACGUCGUCCCCGUCGUUUUCGGACGAGCCCUCAAGAGACCCUGCGUGAUUGUGUGGCACCGGGCGAAAGAAAGAAAGCGCCGUGUCCACCAUCAACUUGUGGCCCCAAUUCAGGCAAGGCCACCGCCCAAAUUAAACCUUAUC